RNAcentral lists this ribosomal RNA (344 nucleotides) under uncultured Cortinarius. RNAcentral's name for it is "LSU rRNA". It matches the Rfam family "Bacterial large subunit ribosomal RNA", at positions 1775 to 2107 of the family's 2925-position model. Lineage: Eukaryota; Fungi; Basidiomycota; Agaricomycetes; Agaricales; Cortinariaceae. The record is from RNAcentral.
GGUGGCACAGAAUCGGAGGCCCCGACUGUUUACUAAAAACACAACACAGUGCAAUCAUAAAUAUGGUAGUAUACUGUGUGAAAUUUGCCCGAUGCCAUUAAUAUAAGAAAAGUUAUGGAUUUGUUUAUUAAACAAUACUGUGACCUAUCGAAAAUCUGGUUAAUAGCGGUCUUAACUAUGAGGAUCCUAAGGUAGCAAAAUCAAUUGGCCAUUAAAUGUGGUCCGGUAUCAAUAAUGUAACGAUGGUCUCACUGUCUCUACAACUUGCUCAGUGAAAUUGAAUUACGCGUGCAGAUGCGCGUAGCCUCCAGGGGGACGGGAAGACCCUAUGCAGCUUCUACUGA